UACGAAGGGGGCUAGCGUUGCUCGGAAUCACUGGGCGUAAAGGGAGCGUAGGCGGGUCUUUAAGUCAGGGGUGAAAUCCUGGAGCUCAACUCCAGAACUGCCUUUGAUACUGAAGAUCUUGAGUUCGGGAGAGGUGAGUGGAACUGCGAGUGUAGAGGUGAAAUUCGUAGAUAUUCGCAAGAACACCAGUGGCGAAGGCGGCUCACUGGCCCGAUACUGACGCUGAGGCACGAAAGCGUGGGGAGCAAACAGG
Molecule: ribosomal RNA, 253 nt
Filed under: uncultured bacterium
Lineage: Bacteria
Description: partial 16S ribosomal RNA
Rfam family: Bacterial small subunit ribosomal RNA
Source: RNAcentral